RNAcentral lists this ribosomal RNA (374 nucleotides) under Listeria monocytogenes. Its description in RNAcentral is "bacterial SSU rRNA". It matches the Rfam family "Bacterial small subunit ribosomal RNA", at positions 1016 to 1392 of the family's 1533-position model. Lineage: Bacteria; Bacillati; Bacillota; Bacilli; Caryophanales; Listeriaceae. The record is from RNAcentral.
CCCUUCGGGGACAAAGUGACAGGUGGUGCAUGGUUGUCGUCAGCUCGUGUCGUGAGAUGUUGGGUUAAGUCCCGCAACGAGCGCAACCCUUGAUUUUAGUUGCCAGCAUUUAGUUGGGCACUCUAAAGUGACUGCCGGUGCAAGCCGGAGGAAGGUGGGGAUGACGUCAAAUCAUCAUGCCCCUUAUGACCUGGGCUACACACGUGCUACAAUGGAUAGUACAAAGGGUCGCGAAGCCGCGAGGUGGAGCUAAUCCCAUAAAACUAUUCUCAGUUCGGAUUGUAGGCUGCAACUCGCCUACAUGAAGCCGGAAUCGCUAGUAAUCGUGGAUCAGCAUGCCACGGUGAAUACGUUCCCGGGCCUUGUACACACCG